GACGAACGCUGGCGGCGUGCUUAACACAUGCAAGUCGAGCGGUAAGGCCCUUUCGGGGGUACACGAGCGGCGAACGGGUGAGUAACACGUGAGUAAUCUGCCCUCCACUUUGGGAUAAGCCUCGGAAACGAGGUCUAAUACCGGAUACGACCGCUUCCUGCAUGGGAUGGUGGUGGAAAGUUUUUUCGGUGGGGGAUGUGCUCGCGGCCUAUCAGCUUGUUGGUGAGGUAAUGGCUCACCAAGGCUUCGACGGGUAGCCGGCCUGAGAGGGUGACCGGCCACACUGGGACUGAGACACGGCCCAGACUCCUACGGGAGGCAGCAGUGGGGAAUAUUGGACAAUGGGCGGAAGCCUGAUCCAGCAACGCCGCGUGAGGGAUGACUGCCUUCGGGUUGUAAACCUCUUUCAGCGGGGACGAAGCGCAAGUGACGGUACCCGCAGAAGAAGCACCGGCCAACUACGUGCCAGCCGCCGCGAAC
RNAcentral lists this ribosomal RNA (480 nucleotides) under uncultured bacterium. RNAcentral describes it as "bacterial SSU rRNA". It matches the Rfam family "Bacterial small subunit ribosomal RNA", at positions 28 to 522 of the family's 1533-position model. The record is from RNAcentral.